UGGCCGAGCGGUGUAAGGUGCUGGAUUAAGGCGCCAGUCACUUCAAAGGCGUGGGUUCGAAUCCCACCACUG
RNAcentral lists this transfer RNA (72 nucleotides) under Merluccius polli (Benguela hake). RNAcentral describes it as "tRNA-Leu". It matches the Rfam family "tRNA", at positions 8 to 65 of the family's 71-position model. From Rfam's summary of the family: Transfer RNA (tRNA) molecules are approximately 80 nucleotides in length. Their secondary structure includes four short double-helical elements and three loops (D, anti-codon, and T loops). Lineage: Eukaryota; Metazoa; Chordata; Actinopteri; Gadiformes; Merlucciidae. The record is from RNAcentral.